GGGGUGUAGCCAAAUGGGAAGGCGAUGGGCUUUGAUCCCAUUAUUGAGUGAGUUCGAUUCUCACCACCCCUU
This 72-nucleotide transfer RNA is filed under the name Candidatus Peregrinibacteria bacterium. RNAcentral describes it as "tRNA-Gln". It matches the Rfam family "tRNA". From Rfam's summary of the family: Transfer RNA (tRNA) molecules are approximately 80 nucleotides in length. Their secondary structure includes four short double-helical elements and three loops (D, anti-codon, and T loops). Further hydrogen bonds mediate the characteristic L-shaped molecular structure. tRNAs have two regions of fundamental functional importance: the anti-codon, which is responsible for specific mRNA codon recognition, and the 3' end, to which the tRNAs corresponding amino acid is attached (by aminoacyl-tRNA synthetases). tRNAs cope with the degeneracy of the genetic code in two manners: having more than one tRNA (with a specific anti-codon) for a particular amino acid; and 'wobble' base-pairing, i.e. permitting non-standard base-pairing at the 3rd anti-codon position. The record is from RNAcentral. Lineage: Bacteria; Candidatus Peregrinibacteriota.